GAUUCCUAUGAACUGAUGCAAAGUGAAGUGAGCAGAACCAUGGCAGCUUCUACAGUGACAGCGAUGGGAACGACAGGACCCACGGUGACGUAGCCUGCCCACCCCCAAAGAGAAGGACUCAGGAGUGCCGAGGGGCUCCGGCACCAGUGUGGACUGCAGAGGCCAGUGAUGAAGUGGGCUGCCCAGCUCCUGAACGUUGUUGUCAUUAUUGUUUGUCCUUCCUUUUCAAAGAGGACCGGUGACAUCACAGGGCAUAGAGACUGGUGUGUGGAUUGCAUUUAAGUGAGGCAGAGAGCACAGAGUCGUCAGCCUCACUCUCCCAGAGUCGUCAAAGUCCACUGGGAAGACAAAAGUCAAGAUGACUGGCAGUGGUCCUGGAUGCAGUGGAUGACCUUGGCGUCUUUGGUAUUUGACUAAACUCUAACCACUCGACAAUACCUGCUUCAGCCCCCUUUGUGGCCACUGGGACACAUUGUUCUCAUCUGUCCACUGGGAGAAGUUUUCACAUGCUUGGGGUGACAUCCCCUAAUGCACCAGCAGAAUUGAGGCCUAUCACUUCCCCUCAACCUGGUUUAGUCUGUCUGCCAACGUGGUUUACCAUGCUGCGCGUGCUACAGCUUCCUGGAGCCGCGGGUGAGAGUUGAGUGCAAGGUGGACACCAAGGGUGGAAAAACAGCACAGAAAGGAGCUUGGCAGCCCUCUCUCCAGAGGUGCUAGGCCUCCGUGAACAUCCCAUAUACCUCCCAGAAUACAGGAGAAGGGCAGCGUUACAAAGUUUUACUGCUGGAAGAAAGGACAAGCAGGAUGGUUUCAGAAAAACCUGGGAAGAUUUAUACGUACUGAUGCGAAGGAAAGUGACCAAAACCAGGAAAACCUUGCACACAGUCAAUAUUGUAACAGUAAUCAACUGGGAAAGACUUUGCUACUCAGAUCAAUGCAAAGAUGAAUGACAUUUAUGAAGUACCCAUGAUGAAAAAUGCUCUCCCUCUCUAGGGAGAGUUGUGAUGGUGAGUGGGAUGUCCCUGUGAAGACGUCUCAGUGUAAUUAAGGUUUGGGAUAAGAUUAUCCUGAACUUGGAGAUAAGUUCAUGAGGCAGAUAAGUAUAGAUUUCUAUAGUUCCCCCAGUGUGAGGUCAGUAGUUAAAGAUUGCCAGGCCUGAAACUUUGAAACCCCCUUGUAUCCCCAUACAUUCCGGUCACGGUGACCUUCCCACAGUAGCCUUCUAGCUUGGAUGCACAUUCUAAAUGUUUCAUUUUGGUAGCAAACUAAGGUGAUUGUUUCUUUGUUAUGUUGUUUCUUUCUUUUCUGGAUAUGCAUAUUGUUUCUUUGUUCUUUGUGUCUGGGAAUAGAUUUUCACGCUUAGAUUGUAAGCCAAAUAUUGGAUAGUUGGUGGGAGGGGGAAUUUUCUUUGCUAGGGUUAUUUAAGCUGGCUUUUUGCUUCUGUAAUUUCUCUUCCUUCAGCAGAAAUCAUGCUGGUGCAGGAACACCCGAUUCUCGAGAAUUGAAGUAAACUUUCUGUUCCUACCUUGAGAUACCUCUGAGGUUUUUUUUAGGUCGCUGUCCCACACAGCGGGUUCUAAAGCAUGUUUUUCCUUUUCAAUUUUAGAUGCGUUGGUAGUUUUAUGUGAUCAAAACUGCUAAUUUUAUAUUCUGUGAUCUCCUCUAUCCUUUUUUCGGUGAUGAACUCUUCCCUUCCCCAUAACUGCACAAUGUAUCUUCAUGGCUCCUCUCAUCUGUUUGAACUGAGCUUUUCUGUCUAAGGCAUGUGUUUGAUUAAAGCUGAUCAUGAUCUACAGUGGGAAA
Molecule: long non-coding RNA, 1803 nt
Organism: Vombatus ursinus (common wombat)
Lineage: Eukaryota; Metazoa; Chordata; Mammalia; Diprotodontia; Vombatidae
Exons: 2
Source: RefSeq, a predicted model, not a curated record